Homo sapiens (human) is the source of this 876-nucleotide long non-coding RNA. Ensembl annotates it as NUTM2A antisense RNA 1. Its record names the gene NUTM2A-AS1. The record is from Ensembl. Lineage: Eukaryota; Metazoa; Chordata; Mammalia; Primates; Hominidae.
UCUAUGGUUUCCGCGGCUCGCUAGAAGGAGUGCGGUCCACUGGAGGUCUCCCUACAUUCUUCCUCCAUUAUCUCACUGCCUCCGGUGGCUGCUGGGAUACCGGAGGACUCGGGUCCCGGCUCGACUCAGUCCUCCAGCCGCCCGGGGAAUACCUCUAGUUCUUCCCGGCCGCCGCCGCCUCCGCCCCGCCGCUUCCUCCUCCGCCUGCCGGCCUCCUUCGCCCCGCCCCGUCCGCGCAGCUCGUCCGGCCCGCCCGCAGGCCAGCUUCUCUCGGGAGCCUCCACCCAGGCGCAUGGCUCCAUGAAGCAAGAGGAGGAGGCAGAGCGCGAGAGAUCCCGUCCGCCCCAGCCGCGUCUGGGCCAGGAGAAAAGCAAAACCAUAUUCCUGCUGCUGUCAGUUUUGAUGCACUGAGAAAACUUCAGAGACCUAAGCUUUUUCCAGAGAAGAGAAGCUUUACUGGUGUUCCAGCCCUAAGGCUCAUAUGACAUUAACAGACAAGACACUUUUCAGAAAGACAGGCAACGUGUUGGACCUUCCGGAGCUUCUCAGAAGACAGAGGGUUUUCUUUUGAGGCUGUUGUACAGUGGCCUGAUUAUAGCUCACUGUAGCCUCGAAAUUCUGGGCCGAAAUGAUCCGCCUGCCUCAGCCUCCAAAGUAGCUGAGACUACAGGUAUUGUUUGGGUUUUAAUACAGACAAAUCAACUCAAUCAAAGAAACCAACUCAAAGAAAGAUGGGUCUACAUACAACAAAACUGAACAAAAUCUGCAAGAAGAGUGAUUCAUACAUGGGCUAUUGAGGCAACAUGAGAUGGACAUUAAUCGACUAAGUAAAAAACAGAUUUCUUGAAGAAUUAAUAAAGAACUUUUGUUUUGGAA